Molecule: ribosomal RNA, 253 nt
Filed under: uncultured bacterium
Lineage: Bacteria
Description: partial 16S ribosomal RNA
Rfam family: Bacterial small subunit ribosomal RNA
Source: RNAcentral
UACGGAGGGUGCGAGCGUUGUCCGGAAUCACUGGGCGUAAAGGGCGCGUAGGCGGCGCGGGAAGUCAACGGUGAAAGCUUGGGGCUCAACUCCGAGUCGGCCGUCGAUACUCCCGUGCUCGAGCACUGUAGAGGCAGAUGGAAUUCCGGGUGUAGCGGUGGAAUGCGUAGAGAUCCGGAAGAACACCGGUGGCGAAGGCGGGUUGCUGGGCUGACACUGACGCUGAUGCGCGAAAGCUAGGGGAGCAAACAGG